UACGUAGGUGGCAAGCGUUGUCCGGAAUUAUUGGGCGUAAAGCGCGCGCAGGUGGUUUCUUAAGUCUGAUGUGAAAGCCCACGGCUCAACCGUGGAGGGUCAUUGGAAACUGGGGAACUUGAGUGCAGGAGAGAAGAGUGGAAUUCCACGUGUAGCGGUGAAAUGCGUAGAGAUGUGGAGGAACACCAGUGGCGAAGGCGACUCUUUGGCCUGUAACUGACGCUGAGACGCGAAAGCGUGGGGAGCAAACAGG
RNAcentral lists this ribosomal RNA (253 nucleotides) under uncultured bacterium. Its description in RNAcentral is "partial 16S ribosomal RNA". It matches the Rfam family "Bacterial small subunit ribosomal RNA", at positions 524 to 776 of the family's 1533-position model. The record is from RNAcentral.